RNAcentral lists this ribosomal RNA (497 nucleotides) under uncultured bacterium. RNAcentral describes it as "partial 16S ribosomal RNA". It matches the Rfam family "Bacterial small subunit ribosomal RNA", at positions 28 to 507 of the family's 1533-position model. The record is from RNAcentral.
GAUGAACGCUGGCGGCGUGCCUAAUACAUGCAAGUCGAGCGAACGGACGAGAAGCUUGCUUCUCUGAUGUUAGCGGCGGACGGGUGAGUAACACGUGGAUAACCUACCUAUAAGACUGGGAUAACUUCGGGAAACCGGAGCUAAUACCGGAUGAUAUUUUGAACCGCAUGGUUCAAAAGUGAAAGACGGUCUUGCUGUCACUUAUAGAUGGAUCCGCGCUGCAUUAGCUAGUUGGUAAGGUAACGGAUUACCAAGGCAACGAUGCAUAGCCGACCUGAGAGGGUGAUCGGCCACACUGGAACUGAGGCACGGUCCAGACUCCUACGGGAGGCAGCAGUAGGGAAUCUUCCGCAAUGGGCGAAAGCCUGACGGAGCAACGCCGCGUGAGUGAUGAAGGUCUUCGGAUCGUAAAACUCUGUUAUUAGGGAAGAACAUAUGUGUAAGUAACUGUGCACAUCUUGACGGUACCUAAUCAGAAAGCCACGGCUAACUACGUG